This 373-nucleotide long non-coding RNA is filed under the name Callithrix jacchus (white-tufted-ear marmoset). RNAcentral describes it as "lncRNA (ENSCJAG00000057320.2)". Lineage: Eukaryota; Metazoa; Chordata; Mammalia; Primates; Cebidae. The record is from RNAcentral.
UAACACUCUAGCCAUCCUUCCCUUUGGUCCUGCCUCACCAUCUGGAGAGUCUCCUUGGGUAGUUCUCUGCCAUGUGAGGACACUGUCUCUUCACUCUGGAGAAUGCAGCAUUCAAUGUUCCCCCUUGGAAGUAGAGACUUGACCCCCACCAGAAGCCUGAAGCUGCUGACAUGUUGAUUUUGGACUUCCCUGUCUCCAGAACUAGAGAAGGUGACCAUUUGCAAGUCAGGAAGAAGGCCUUCACCAGAACCCAACCAUGCUGGCACUCUGAUCUCAGACUCCAGUCUCUGGAAAUGUGAGAAAAUAAAUGUCUGUUAUUUUAGAUGCUUAGUCUAUGGUAUUCUGUCAUUGCAGCCCCAGUUGAACAAGAUAG